CCAAGUGGCUAUAAUGCAGCAUUCUUUUGGUCAGGGCGCAGUCAGUAGCACCUCUGUCCUUUAUGUUUUAACGUUUUGUUAAAGCAGAGGGAAAGAAAAAUUCUCCUGAGCUGGGCGAAUGGUGUGCGUUAAUAUGGAUGGAAAGCUCGGCGUCACGCUAGUACGAAGCGUCUUUAGAUUUUCACAUCAGCUAAGAGUGCAGGGGUCAAAAUUCACUGAGGACCCUAGUUCAUUCUUCUCUAAUUUGUCAAGUUUUAGCUCUGUCUGUCUUACCAGUACAUCCAAUAAUACGACGCGAGACCCUGGUUAAACGACGAACCUGCGUGAUUGUUUUGGAUCAUUCCAGUGAAGCGAUGAUGGACGGGGAAGGAAAAGCAACAAGUGUAUCCCAAUAAGACUACAUGUGACCCUUUGAGGACACAUUUUCCACGUUUCAUUCAUCUAACGGUUAGCCUGCAGACAAUCAGAAGAAGGAACAUGACAAGAAACAGGUCAUCUUCCAGCGGGCCUCCGGAACCACACUGUCACAUGACACGAGAGGCCAGAGUUUUGCUAAACCCCCAGAAAGGACCGACAUAACUGAUGAAAGCCGUCCAGAAAAUGCAGAUAACGAACAACAACAAGAAUGUGUCUCACAACCUCGCGGAAUUAUUUGUAACAAAGUCGUUAUGCAUUUGAACAUAAAGACAAAAUUUGUCACCCCAAACAUAUUGGGUCAGCGACCGCAAAAUACCUACUUGUACAGUGAAAUGGAAUAGCCUACUGAACGAGAAGGGGACGUUAAAACAAGGAGAAAAAUGUACACCAUCCUCAAUCAAGACUGUACUAACUCAUCAGUGUUUCUGAGGAGAAGAGGAGCGCGGCUUCAUUGAGCGACAAGAAACCCCCGCUGAGAUUCGCUGCCUCAGAAAGAGCACGUAUGCUUUAUACGAGUGACCAGCUAGAGCUUGAGAAGUUUCACUUCAGCAUAUUUGUACAGGCGGAGACCUGUGGAAAUGGCCAGUUUACGCAAACUUACUGAGAAGAAAAUAAAAAUCUGCUUUCAGAACCGGAGGAUGAGAGAAAAAAGACUGUAUAGGCUGAAAAGAAUGUCUUUCUUAGCUGGACCAUCUCUGAUCAACAACCUACCACCACCGUCUUGAGUGAAGCUUCAGUAGAUUGAUUUAUCUAUGGUGACUCAGGUGAAACGUCCUCCGCGAAUAGAGGUAUAUCUGGGUAUGGUUAUCCAGUAUACAUUAAUGGCAUUCUCUGUCUCUUCUGGACAGUUUACAUAAAACUAUUCUGUCAUGUUCCCAGAGCGUAGCCAAUAAUAAAGUCCCCCUUUUAAAAUGAUUAAAUGCCACUUUCAUGUAAUAUUUCCAAAACGAAUGUUUAAUGGUAAAUAAGCAUUAUAGUAAUGUACUUGAUUGUUUUAAUAACGUUACUCUUAAUAAAUCAGUCAAAUUAUUGUGUGAACAUGAAUAGUCCCACGAAUUAGACAUUUUGCGUGUUGUGGUGUAUUUAUUUAGUUAUUGCUUCUCGCGAUGUUAAUUUGAAAUGAUCUAAUCAUUUUAUCUCUGACAACUUACAAUUCUUAUUAAUAAUUUCCUGUAGGUUAUCGAAUGGAGUAUGUCACCUGUAUUAAAAAAAAAAUGGUUUUAGGUUUAUCUAAAAGUCGAAUUAGGCUAUAGCCUAGGAAUAAAAAAA
This is a long non-coding RNA of Cyprinus carpio (common carp), 1686 nucleotides long. RefSeq lists it as uncharacterized. The transcript is spliced from 4 exons. Lineage: Eukaryota; Metazoa; Chordata; Actinopteri; Cypriniformes; Cyprinidae. The record is from RefSeq and is a predicted model, not a curated record.